GAUGAAGAACGCAGCGAAAUGCGAUAAGUAAUGUGAAUUGCAGAAUUCAGUGAAUCAUCGAAUCUUUGAACGCACAUUGCGCCCGCCAGUAUUCUGGCGGGCAUGCCUGUUCGAGCGUCAUUACAACCCUCAGGCCCCCGGGCCUGGCGUUGGGGAUCGGCGGAGCCCCCCGUGGGCACACGCCGUCCCCCAAAUGCAGUGGCGGUCCCGCCGCAGCUUCCAUCGCGUAGUAGCUAACACCUCGCGACUGGAGAGCGGCGCGGCCACGCCGUAAAACACCCAACUCUUCUGAAGUUGACCUCGAAUCAGGUAGGAAUACCCGCUGAACUUAAGCAUAUCAAUAAGCCGAGGA
This 352-nucleotide unclassified non-coding RNA is filed under the name soil metagenome. RNAcentral describes it as "partial contains 5.8S ribosomal RNA, internal transcribed spacer 2, and large subunit ribosomal RNA". The stretch from base 1 to 120 matches the Rfam family "5.8S ribosomal RNA", at positions 35 to 154 of the family's 154-position model. The record is from RNAcentral.